Molecule: long non-coding RNA, 544 nt
Filed under: Gossypium raimondii (Peruvian cotton)
Lineage: Eukaryota; Viridiplantae; Streptophyta; Magnoliopsida; Malvales; Malvaceae
Description: long non-coding RNA (GRAI_LNC008483)
Source: RNAcentral
AGGACAUUAUACCUCUUAUAUAUAAACACACACACAGAUAUAUAUAGGAAACAACAAGAACGAGUGCUGAUCCACAGGAAUAUUCAUGCAACUGGAUAGGAAGGUUUCUUGGCAAUGCCACAAAGACCUUUUUUGGAAUGAACAUCUCUCUUGAUCCUCAUGUAACCACUUUCACCCCAGGAUUUGCCCCAUGAGUUCUUCAAUAACCAGUACUUAAUCCCAUCUUCACUUGCUCCAUACCCUACGACACUAACAGCAUGGUUUAACCUGGUUCGGCAUGGUCCUCCAUAAACACCUCCUGAAUAAAACUGAAAUCCAUAUCCACUGCAAUCAAGGGCCACUGCAACAGGUUGCCGGCUUGCGGCCUUUAAGAGAGCUUCUUCAUUGUCGCGAGGUACAUCUUCGUAUCCAGUGAUCUGCGCAGCUCUGAAAGUUUCUUUUCGACGGCUGCAUUUCCCGUCCUUUCCGGUGUAUGGGUAUUUUGAUUCCUUGGCGAGACCCUGGUUUCUACCAAUGUAUUCGAAUCCGUCGUCCAUCCAACCGG